This is a long non-coding RNA of Pezoporus flaviventris, 877 nucleotides long. RefSeq lists it as uncharacterized. NCBI's taxonomy places the organism in Eukaryota, Metazoa, Chordata, Aves, Psittaciformes, Psittacidae. The transcript has 3 exons. The record is from RefSeq and is a predicted model, not a curated record.
UGGCUUUAACUCACCUGGAAAGCUUCAGAUACAUCUGGGAUGAGGACCGUAGAUGAAGACAGAGCAGUGUAAUGACUGGAAUCAGCAAUAUCCGCCAGGACAGCGCACCCACUUCAGCAUCUCCUUACCCCAACUAUGCUGUGACUGGUCAAAAAACAACCUGUAGCAGGAGAUGGCCCAGUGGAACCUCCAUUCCCUGGCUAAGACUCCUGAAUACCAAUGACAACGCACAUCGAGAUUGUGUUGCAAUUAUGGGGGAAGAUCUGUAUUUAUAGCGUGGAAAGGAUUUGCACAGGAGCCACAGUCCUCUCUCUGCCAGGCAUGACAUUUCCAUUCUGCACUAAUGUUGUGGAACCUUGUGGUAAGUAAAACAGGCACAAAGUAUUUACCAGUGAUGUAAAGACAAAAGGUGUCUUCUCUCGUGCUUCAAAUCUGAUAGCAGAUGCUAAAACCCUCUCUGUUUCUAAUGUGUUGGUGGUUAGAAGUUGAAAGCCUAAUUCACACUUACUGACAUGAAUGCAGGAGCUGGGGCUUCAAGAGAAAUAGCAGCUAUCCUUGAUUGCACCAGAAGAAAUGCAGUACUGGUAAUGUUUGCUGUGGAAUUCCAAUUACACUUUAGCUGUCGUUUGCUAUCCUGUAUGUUGUAUCAGAGCAUCUUUCCUGUAUCUGUCCUCAGAACAUCCCUGUGAAAAGCUGCUGACCUAUUUUCCCAGGGGGGACUAUUAAUAGAGAUUGGCAAAAGAAGUUCAUAACUUUUCCAAUAUCAACCCCGCAUCGAUUCACUGCUGACAAAGGUUACACUGGGAAAUUGGCUUUCCCCAGCACGGAUACAACGGGAUUGGAGGCAUUCAGUCUUACCAGAGAUGCUCUUUUUGUA